UGUCCUAUGGUGUAAUUGGUAACACGUCUGACUCUGGAUCAGAAAAGUUAAGGUUCGAACCCUUAUAGGACAA
This 73-nucleotide transfer RNA is filed under the name Bacteroidales bacterium. Its description in RNAcentral is "tRNA-Gln". It matches the Rfam family "tRNA". From Rfam's summary of the family: Transfer RNA (tRNA) molecules are approximately 80 nucleotides in length. Their secondary structure includes four short double-helical elements and three loops (D, anti-codon, and T loops). The record is from RNAcentral. Lineage: Bacteria; Pseudomonadati; Bacteroidota; Bacteroidia; Bacteroidales.